Molecule: long non-coding RNA, 829 nt
Organism: Panicum virgatum (switchgrass)
Lineage: Eukaryota; Viridiplantae; Streptophyta; Magnoliopsida; Poales; Poaceae
Exons: 3
Source: RefSeq, a predicted model, not a curated record
CAGACUCAAUGCCAGCAUUAUUGCCUUUCGGUAGGCUUCAGCAUAUCCAGCCAUAAGAAUACACAAGGCUCACAUUAUUUGCUCCGUUCUAUUCUUCCUCUCCUUCCCCUGCAAACUCCUCUCGUGCCCAUUGGCAACAUUGAGGUUUGAAAGAUGACAAUCUUGGUUAUCACCGUGGACCUGCAAUGCUGCCGCUGCCGAGCCAAGAUCACCAGGGUCCUGGACUGCCUCAAAUUAAAGGAACAUUUACUAUGCAGCAGGAAAGCUUCCAUGAGGCGAGGAGGAUUUCUGCAUUGAGAAGGUGGAGUUCGAGGACAAGCUGAACAAGGUGAUUGUACGCGGCAAGUUCAGCGGCGAGAAGCUCUCCAAGAAGAUCUGCUACAAGGCCGACAGGAUCGUCAAAGAUAUCACCAUCGAUCGUCGAGGUCUGGCCGCCGCCCAAGCCGGAGGAGCCUAAGCCAAAGCCGCCGGAGGAUAAGCCGAAGCCGCCGGAGGAGAAGCCGAAACCACCGGAGGAGAAGCCGAAGCCGCCGCCGCCGCUGCCCAAACCGGAAGUGAAGGUGGUGCCGUACCCGUACCCGGUGCCGUAUGAAAGUGAUCGGGUGCUCUAGCCUAAGAGGGGGGAGGGGGUGAAUUAGGCACUAAUAAAAACUUAGACCUAUGGCUCUAACUAGUUUGCACAAAACUUAAACUAAAACAUGCUAUCUAGAUGUGCAACUAGGUUGUUCUAGUGUGAAACUCCUAUCCCAAAAGAGUUUAGCAACAUAUAGCCUUUCCUACCAUGAAACUAUUCUAUGAAAGUAAAUGCACACAAGUUGCUAGAAUGAAA